UUUUUUUUUUUUUUUUUUUUUUUUUAAGUAGACACAACAUUGCAUCUGAAUUAAUAUUUUUAAAGUGCAGAAUACUUGGAUCAUAAAUGUAUGGAUCAUUCCUUAGUGUAAUAUCACUUUAUGGACAAGACAGAGAAUGGAAGCUUUUGAAGUAUUAGUGAAGUAGACAAAAAAGAAAAAUAAAGGUGUAAAUACACUUUAAGAAUACAGAAUGGCCCCCAGAUAGGAAAGACUUUGGUAUAGCCUGAUUGAUUGUAUUGACAUGUCUAAAAGAAGAAUGUUUUAAUCAGUAGGGGAAUAUGAACAACCAAGCUGUGGAAGCAGAGUAAAUAAAAUUAACAGAGGGGAAACAGUGUAAGCUUCCAUUCCAGCACAGCACAGACAGAAGUAUAACCUCGUAGUUUCCAUUUUUGAGUCCUUUUGGCACACGUUGCCAAUACUAAGAUGAUGACAAGAAGCUAUAGCCCAGUGGACAUUGUAAAGGCAGCACUAUUAUGAGAUUAUACGAUGAGAUGAAGCCUGAAGUCACUGCAGAGCCAGCCCAUCUAAUUAAUUCCAACACAUAUACGUUUUUUGUUGUUUUUUUUUUUCUGAUUUCAGCUUGCUCAGGAGACUUCAAAUCAUGCCGUAUAUUACUGCGAGGAAGAUAUUGCCAAAAGAGAGAGACUUUUCUGAUCAUUAUAGUCUUUAAGAAUUCCAAUUCUUGUGACAGUGAUUUCUCAUUUAAAAACUGAUGAAUGAGAACUCUGGUUUUAUGAAUCAAAGGAAUGGGGUUGGCUAAUGUUAUGUCUGCCCCUGAAAAGUGAAACUAUUCUCUAGGAGGCCACAAAGUUGUUUAUGAGCCUCCGGAAAAGUGUAAGAUCCAGAUCCUGAAAUGGUGCAUCCUCCCAGCCAGUAAACAAGUUCCUUCUGCAGGCUUUGGUUUUUCAAAACCACUUAGAAGGGAGCCUUCCCCACCUGCCACGUGGAAACUUCCCCAACAAAAACGCACAUUGUUCUGUCUCUAUUCCUGUGUCUCUUACCUCUGGCCUGUGGGAUCUUGGUUUCAGACUCUGGGUCAUCCUGCCUCUGCCUUGCACAAUAGCCUGUCUUUGAGGGGAUAUUUUUUUUUAAUCCUAUUUCCUGCCUCUGGAAGUACAGGUGUCAACUAUUUCUUAUUCGGCAUGGUCUCUAUCCCUUUCAGUCCACAUUAAUGGUGUUUCUGCCAUAUAAUUUCUUUAAAACUUUGUGGAGUUUCUAUGAAUCAUUUCUUGUUGUUCAAGCCAUUCAAAAAAAAAAAAUGUAAUAUCCACAAAUCUCUUUGAGGUAGACUUUCUUUAUCCAGUGCCCCUCUUGCAGCUGCAGUGGGAUAAUUCCCUUAGAUUUUUUAAAUCCCUAUUGUUUAACAGAGAGUGUUUGCAAGGUAGAUACUUUAGAUGCAUUAUGAGGCCUUUCCCAUCUGAAAGGACCUAUGAGGCACUAUCUUAAGUCUUUUUUAAAGUUUUCAAAAGGUUUAUAGUCACACCAUUGGCUUCAGCUUUACUCCAAGGCUGUUUUCCCCACAGUGUUCUGAAUUUGACCUUUGCCAUGAAGUCUUUUAUCACUUUGAGACUUUUUUGCCAUGUAGAGAGGCUAGACAUGAAAACCAAUUAAACGUUCCAACCCAGAAAUUCACGAGCUUCUUUACAGUUAUACUAAAUUUUUGCUUGAAAAUGAAAUACAUCCAUUUUUAGCUUAUCUCUUUUUCUACAUCUCAUGAUGCACGCCUAAGAGAAGCAAAGUGGUACUGAGAGAUAAAAUAUUGCCUGCCAUAUCUGGAAACGAAGGAUGUCACAGUCAUCAGUGAGUGCAGCCACAUCUAAGGGUGAGCCAGUGAGCCCUGAGGGAACUCAGGGAGGAAACAAAGAAUACUUGCCUUCUAGCAUCCAUCAGACUACAGCCACUCCCGAAGGAGAGCCUGAGGGAUGUGAAAAUACAGGAUAAAAGUCCCAAAUAGCUGAGGUGCAUAUCAAAGGAAUGAUUUCAGUAAACCCAGAACUUUGCAUCUUCCCAAAAAAGGAAAGCACCAAAUUCCUUAAUUUGAGAUAUCUAGUUUUCCAAUGUUAAUAGUCAUCUCUUGUUCCUACUAUCUGCCCGUUAUUGCAAAACUCCUAUUUAUUCUAGUUUCCCCUCACCAUUGUGGAGCACUUUUCUCAAGGUUAUUUGAGAUGCUGCUUCCCGGGCUUAAGUCCUCAGUUUUUACCACUAAAAAAAAAAAAAAAUAGCUUACAACUCUUAGGUUGUGCAUUGUUUUGUCGUCAAAGAGUACAUUGAAUAUUCUGCCUCAAAAUUUCAUUAGGAAAUCCACCAGUUUACUAGGCUUCUUUUCUUUUCUUUUUUUUCUUAGUACAGCCACACCUGUGGCAUAUAGAAGUUCCAGGCCAAAGGAUGAAUCGGAGCUGCAGCUACAUGGCAAUGCCACAGCCAAGGCAACACCAGAUCCACACCUCAUCUGCAACCUACCCUGCAGCUUGCAACAACACUGGAUCCUUACACCACAAAAUGAGGACAGGGAUCGAACCCACAUCCUCACAAAGAUAAUGGUAAAUCCUUAACCUUCUGAGCCAUAAUGGAACUCCAGUUAAGAUUGUUUUCUCUUUUGUGUAUCACCAUCAUGAUAAUUUAAAUACUCAACUGUGUUGUCAAACUUUUUUCCAAUUUCCCAUAAUAAUUACUUUACUGACCUCCCAGCUUUUAUUCAUGAAUAGAUUCUUUGACAUCCUUCCAAAUUUUUGUAGCAGAAACCUCAAAACCCUUUCAUUUUCCAUUUGCACCCUAAUACCCUAGUCAACAAAACAUUGUAAGUUUUUGUUCGGGGAAAACUCUGCCCUUGGUAUCAAAUUCUGUUAUGAUUAUCUAUUGCUGCAUUAAACCCACUUAUAAAACCUUGUGGCAUAAAGCAACAAUCAUUUAAUAUGCUCAUGGAGUUUGUGGUCAUGAAUUCAGGAAGGGCACAGACAUGAUGGCCCUUCACUUUUCUUGAUGUAUGGGCCACAGCCAAGAAUAAUCAAUGGACAAGGAGUGACUCAAAUGGCCAGCCAGAGGAAGCACUUAAAGGCCACUUCAAUUAAAUGUCUGACACUCUGCGGGGGUGAUGAGAAGGCUGGCCUCAGUUGAGAUUGUUUACUAAGCUACCCAUACUUGUUCUCUCCAUGUAGCUGAGCCUUCUUGAAACAGAGAAGCUAGGUUUCAAGAUGAACCAUCAGGAGAGGAAACAUUUCAAGAGACCCAGAUGGAAGGUCUAAGACUUUUCUGACCCAGUCUUAAGAGACAUGCAGUCUUGAACUUCCUGUCAUGGCUCAAUAGUAACGAACCCAACUGGUAUCCAUGAGAACACAGGUUUGACCCCUGGCCUCACUCAGUGGAUUAAGGAUCUGGCAUUGCCAAGACCCGUGGGGUAGGUCACAGACAUGACUUGGAUCCUGCAUUGCUGUGGCUAUAGGCUGGCAGCUAUAGCUCCAAUUGGACCCCUAGCCUGGGACCUUCCAUAUGCCACAGCUGCAACCCUAAAAAGACCAAAAAAAAAAAAAGAAUCAUGCAGUCUUACUUCCACCAUAUCCUAUUGUCCAUUGUAAUCUUAGGUGGCGUAUAUUUUGUUGAUAUUUUUUCCUUAAACAGAAUUUAAAGUGAAUCUCUGAGUCCAGCCCACUUUCAAGGAGAAAGGAUUUAGAUUCUUCUCAUUAAUAUGAAAGCCGUAAAGUCAUAUCACCAAAGAAGAGGUCAGAUGGAGAUCUUAUGAGACCAUCUUUGGAAAUAUAUCACAGAUCAUAGAAUUAAACUACUGAAUAAGAAGGAAAAUAUGAGAAAAGUAACUGCAAAUGUCAUAGGCUUACAUAGAGAAGAAAAGCUACUAUAAAAACUAAAAUGAAGCAUAAUAUUUUGGAGACUCUUAUUCCCUGUAUCUUGCCACAACAUUGCAUCCUUAGAGAACAAGGUAAAAUGUCACACUAGGGCCAGGGCAGGAUAAAAUUUGAUGCCUUAUUUUGCACAGGACUAGACAUAUUUUGUCUUCAGCAAUAAAUAAAGAAACAUACAUUGAACCGGAGUCAACUCUGUUUUGUCUCUGGCUGUUGGUAUGAUAAGAGGAGGCUGGUUUAUCCUCCAUUCAAAUGGCAUGUUACACUUCAAGAACCAAGUAAGAUCAAGAUGAAGUCUUUGGAAGACAGGAAAAUAAAUUUAGUGGAUCAGUCAUUGGUCUGAUCAAGAUGCCAUGGAAUAAAAGUAAAACUAUUCAGUGGUCAGGACUGGGGAAGUGUUGAAAUGAUCAUCAAUCAUGGCAACACUCAAAUUGCGAAGUUUGUAAACACACAGAUAUUUAGAUUAAACAUUACUUAAAAUGCCUUUCUCAUUGGUGCUCUUAUAAGCUCUAAGGAAGCCAAUCAGAUGGCAAAUGAGUACAGUGAAGAGACAAAAAAUUCCCAGGAUUGGAGAAGUUUGCCCAAAUGUGCCUUUUGUAACUUAGUGCUUACUUAAAUAUUCAAUUGUUUGUUCAAAGCUUCCCAACUUGGUACUCCCAUUAAACACAAAGGAUCAAAGCUGAAUUAUACCACUAAGGUCAGAGGGUUCCUCUAAAUCUAGAUCCACAUUAUGUCUGCGGAAGGAAGUUUGACCAGACUCUCCAUCCUUGAGUUUUGUGCUUAAAAACACUAGAUAGAGAUGCCUGGAUUCAGACUCAUAGGAUUCAUUUUUACGGCUGCUUGGUCGGGACUUCCCACCAGUAACCACUUCUCCACUGGUUAUCCGCGAUUUCGCUCUCUACUCUCUAUGCUGCAGAGGUGAUGAGGAUGAUGAUCAGAGCAAGGCCACAGGGGAAUGAGGCUUUGGCAUGGGAACUUGAAACUGUGUUUUUUAUGGAUAUUUAUUUAUGUAACAAGCAUUCCAAAGGGCUUGUUUGCCAUAAUACCGUCUUUCUUUUUCCAUUACAUCUCUAGGAUUACAUACUUUUUUGUUUUGUUCUGAUGCCAGAACUGAAAUGCUUACAAAAGAGCCUAGCAAAGUACGCUAGAUCGAUAAGUUAGCUGAGUUUACAAGUUCAAGCGGCACAUAAGCGUGACUAUGCAAAAGAAGACGUUAAAAAAUACACGGUACCCCCCAAAAGCUAAUAUCCUCAUAAAUGUGUACAGAGAUGAAAGAGAUUAUAAGCAAUAAACUGCUUAUAAAUAGUCUGUUCUCUGUUACGAGGGAAAGACAUGUUUUGUUCCUAAUAGCAUCAAAUGGUCAUGGAUAAUUUUAUUUAGAUGGUUAUUACUUCCACAAGGUACACGUCCCUAUUUUUAGGAUGCAUGUGCUUCCAUGUAAACACCAAUGUUCACCAGAGUAGGUUCAUAUGGGAAAGCAAAAGGCAGUAGAAGAAUGUACUGAAAUGCACAGCUGCUAUAAAAGCCACACAAUCUGAGCAUACCAGAUACUCUGUCUGUAAGUCCAUACAGAUAGAGAUACUGGCCAAAUAAACAGCAUUUUAUUCUAAGUUCUAGUAUUCAUAACCAGCUUAGAAGUGCUGUCCUUCCCAACUCCACCUCCAUUUUUUUUGCCCUUACUAAAAAAAUAGUCUCUAAGGAAUAUUUUAACUAUAUAAAUAGAAUGUUGCACUUCGAAGGUAAAAAAGAUGGUUCAAGGUUAUCAGCCUUGGUAUGGUUUUAACAGAAAAUGAAAAAUUCUUAUCCAUCAUAAACCAUCACAGCAUCAAGGCACAGGUACAAAGAGUUAAGAAUACAAAAGAGAAACGUCCAGGCUCUUUUAAAAAUUAUUCUCGAGAUGCUUAUGUGUUCUAGAUGUGUCCUUUGAUAAGAUGGUCCGGAGAUAUCAAUUUAAAAAAUGGACAAUCCAAAAGAAUGGCAAAGCUUCUGACACAUUACCUAUGAAAAUGAGACAAAAGCAGUGGUUACCCCACUCAGUCUCCGUAACUAUUGUCUUGUCUCUUCUGGCCUGAUUUUCUCUCUACUCAUUCAUUUAUUCUAUAAACAUUUAUUGAUUGUCUUCUAUUUCUCAGACUUUUUCUAGGCACUUAGUAUAAUCAAUGAUCAAAGCAAAGAUCCCCA
This 6056-nucleotide long non-coding RNA is filed under the name Sus scrofa (pig). RNAcentral describes it as "lncRNA (ENSSSCG00015075504.1)". Lineage: Eukaryota; Metazoa; Chordata; Mammalia; Artiodactyla; Suidae. The record is from RNAcentral.